GAGGCAUAGCUCAGCUGGUUAGAGCGCACGGUUCACAUCCGUGAGGUCGCGGGUUCAAGUCCCUCUGUCUCC
This 72-nucleotide transfer RNA is filed under the name bovine gut metagenome. It matches the Rfam family "tRNA". From Rfam's summary of the family: Transfer RNA (tRNA) molecules are approximately 80 nucleotides in length. The record is from RNAcentral.